RNAcentral lists this ribosomal RNA (1524 nucleotides) under Staphylococcus aureus. RNAcentral's name for it is "partial 23S ribosomal RNA". It matches the Rfam family "Bacterial large subunit ribosomal RNA", at positions 12 to 1536 of the family's 2925-position model. Lineage: Bacteria; Bacillati; Bacillota; Bacilli; Caryophanales; Staphylococcaceae. The record is from RNAcentral.
UAAGGGCGCACGGUGGAUGCCUUGGCACUAGAAGCCGAUGAAGGACGUUACUAACGACGAUAUGCUUUGGGGAGCUGUAAGUAAGCUUUGAUCCAGAGAUUUCCGAAUGGGGAAACCCAGCAUGAGUUAUGUCAUGUUAUCGAUAUGUGAAUACAUAGCAUAUCAGAAGGCACACCCGGAGAACUGAAACAUCUUAGUACCCGGAGGAAGAGAAAGAAAAUUCGAUUCCCUUAGUAGCGGCGAGCGAAACGGGAAGAGCCCAAACCAACAAGCUUGCUUGUUGGGGUUGUAGGACACUCUAUACGGAGUUACAAAGGACGACAUUAGACGAAUCAUCUGGAAAGAUGAAUCAAAGAAGGUAAUAAUCCUGUAGUCGAAAAUGUUGUCUCUCUUGAGUGGAUCCUGAGUACGACGGAGCACGUGAAAUUCCGUCGGAAUCUGGGAGGACCAUCUCCUAAGGCUAAAUACUCUCUAGUGACCGAUAGUGAACCAGUACCGUGAGGGAAAGGUGAAAAGCACCCCGGAAGGGGAGUGAAAUAGAACCUGAAACCGUGUGCUUACAAGUAGUCAGAGCCCGUUAAUGGGUGAUGGCGUGCCUUUUGUAGAAUGAACCGGCGAGUUACGAUUUGAUGCAAGGUUAAGCAGUAAAUGUGGAGCCGUAGCGAAAGCGAGUCUGAAUAGGGCGUUUAGUAUUUGGUCGUAGACCCGAAACCAGGUGAUCUACCCUUGGUCAGGUUGAAGUUCAGGUAACACUGAAUGGAGGACCGAACCGACUUACGUUGAAAAGUGAGCGGAUGAACUGAGGGUAGCGGAGAAAUUCCAAUCGAACCUGGAGAUAGCUGGUUCUCUCCGAAAUAGCUUUAGGGCUAGCCUCAAGUGAUGAUUAUUGGAGGUAGAGCACUGUUUGGACGAGGGGCCCCUCUCGGGUUACCGAAUUCAGACAAACUCCGAAUGCCAAUUAAUUUAACUUGGGAGUCAGAACAUGGGUGAUAAGGUCCGUGUUCGAAAGGGAAACAGCCCAGACCACCAGCUAAGGUCCCAAAAUAUAUGUUAAGUGGAAAAGGAUGUGGCGUUGCCCAGACAACUAGGAUGUUGGCUUAGAAGCAGCCAUCAUUUAAAGAGUGCGUAAUAGCUCACUAGUCGAGUGACACUGCGCCGAAAAUGUACCGGGGCUAAACAUAUUACCGAAGCUGUGGAUUGUCCUUUGGACAAUGGUAGGAGAGCGUUCUAAGGGCGUUGAAGCAUGAUCGUAAGGACAUGUGGAGCGCUUAGAAGUGAGAAUGCCGGUGUGAGUAGCGAAAGACGGGUGAGAAUCCCGUCCACCGAUUGACUAAGGUUUCCAGAGGAAGGCUCGUCCGCUCUGGGUUAGUCGGGUCCUAAGCUGAGGCCGACAGGCGUAGGCGAUGGAUAACAGGUUGAUAUUCCUGUACCACCUAUAAUCGUUUUAAUCGAUGGGGGGACGCAGUAGGAUAGGCGAAGCGUGCGAUUGGAUUGCACGUCUAAGCAGUAAGGCUGAGUAUUAGG